ACAGAGGGACAAUGUCAGGGUCUAUACGCCUGUUAACAUGCCAGUAUCAGGUAGCCUAACCUGGACACACACAACCUACACUUACAAUGAAUACCACUGAGAAGAUGGGACUGUGUACCAAAGUCUAGGUCCCAGUCAAGCUAACAUUUCCCAGUAUCAGGCUUCACUCAUUCAUCCCCACUGAGCCCUCAACGGGACAUUAAUGGCUCUACACAGUAGUCUAGGAAACAGAUCCGACAGAGGUUAGUUUGCGUGGCUCUCUACAUAGUCAGAUUGCGUAGACUGAAACCACUGUGGAGAGCCCUUCAGAUGACAUAGAUUACAUUUUCUUAAAUGGAUUUGAUCCAAGCAGGUUUACAGCAGUGACAUUAAUGCAAUCUUGAAAAAAUAAUUAAAAUACUCUGCACGUUAGGCUCCAGUUAUGAUAUGAAUUAUAUUGUAACUUGACCCAUAUAAAAGCAUGUCUAAUGAGGUGCUCAGAGUAUGAUCAUUGAGCAAGCAUUCAGUCUACUGAGGCAAGAUAGCUACCACCUAUCAGACCACAUGCAUAAGAUUGGGUGCAACUAAACUAACAUCCAUUAUUGCAAGGACUGAGUGGAGGGCGAAAAGAGGUUCUCUCCUUAGUUUAUUUAUAAGGGUUUGGAUUUUUAAAAUUUUUAAAUGCUGUUUCGUCUGGAACAUCUGUUGUUUAUUGGCCUCUGAAGUGUCAGCUUGGCCGUGCUUUAGUUAUUUAGGGCCCCAGAGUGUUGAGCAUAUACAGGUCAAAGGUCAACGCUGUGGAUUCUAAUGCAUUUUUCUACUAGACAUGUUGGAAAGAAAGUCUUCUCAUUGAGGCCAACAGUGGGUCCUAAGAAAAAGCAGCAAGUUAACUAACCCUAUGGUCGUCUCUGGACGGUCUCGGAGGCGAUUCCAGGAGAGCAGAGUCAAUAUGGUGGGUAGAACGAUGUCUCACUAAAGUUUACGUAUGACCGCUUGUGCGACAUAACCAUUUCUGAAUCCGGACGACUAACAACAGGUCAAUAGAAAAUAUAUAUUUUUAACUGCAAACAAGAUUUACCAUGAAAGUAAAACAGGGACAAAGAGAUAAAACAUGAGUGAGGCUUACGAAGCCAAUGAGCACAAGUCAUGUUAACAUAUUGCACAGUGCAAAUAACAAGCACCACAUCUGUACGCUUAACAUCCCAGUGACAAAAGCUAUUAAAUCAACAGAAAGAAAAAUGAUCCGCCCAGUAGUCCCAAUGCUGUAGUUCCACUACUGCACGGAACACUUGUAAAUGGUCAUCUAAUUAUCGCCACACCGAGCUGACGAUGGGGGAAUAUGACAGUGCCAGUCACAAGGUCACAUGACUUUCCCAGGAUAUGGAGCCUUUUCUCAUUAUCUGUGUCAUCCAGGAACAUCUGGCCCAGAUUAGGCCCAUGUAAAUGUGGCUCUUGGUACGACCGGGCAAUCUGCUGCAGCAUCGCACAAACGCCCGGCCGGCGCACAUGCACGCACACAAACAAAAAGGGGAUAGGGCAAAACCACUAUCUGAUAGAUAUAUGUAUCUAUGAGGCUUUCUGUUUCUCAUGGAUAUUAAGCAAGCCCAUUGUUAGAUGCUGUUUAAAGAUUUCAGACACAGGCAGGGUGGGAACCAAUCUAGUCAAAAUAUACCAUUUGAGACAAUUUGAGUAAAGUCCCACACCAACUGUGGAUUCAGUACUAUAUUCCCAAACGCAUUACGCUUAACUACAGUCAGACCUUGAGGUAACAUUUGGUCAUGGAAAAUACUUGAAUGACCUGAAGAGACAAAUCUUUUGAAAGGCUUGUUGUUCGGUCAGCAUUGGGGUCCACCUAAACCUCACUCACGGAGCUGUUUAAGAUAUAGCGCUAGUAGAUCGGAGGGGAAAGAGAAUUUCGGCUCAAAAUGAUCCUGAACAAUGCUGCUUGUUCCAAUGAGCUGUUCAUGGAAUCCCCAGACAGGAAUCCCCAGACAGUCCUCCAGCCACGUGAAGGCUGCUCCAUUCCAUCUCAUUAACCUUUUUCUACUAAAUCUGACCUGAUGAAGGCUCAUUGAAGGUUCACUCAUCCUGCUUUCUUCAGUGGUGUGGACUCCAGUGUUUUGUUGUGGGUGGCUGUGAGAGAUGCCGUCCAAUGUGACAAUCAUCUGGGGGGAGUUAUUGUGUCCAGCGUACCAAUUCUAGCACAGACGUCCAACAGGUUGUGGUAGGAACACAUUUUGGUAUGAACAAAUAUGGAACGGGUACGUGUGUCAAAUACCUUGUGUUCAGGCCUGUAAAUAUACAGUGCAUUACAACAUUCUGUAAAGAUCUAUCAGUUAAAGUAAUCAAAACACUAGGAACCAUUCCUUUCGAUAUCUAUUCCUUUACUGACUAUGACACUCAAUAUUCAUUCUGCACAACAAGACGACGACAGAUAAAUGUGCAAAAGGCUGGGGCCUCUUUGGUUCUCCAAGCAGAAGGGAGGGCCUCUCCAACCCCCUUCAUUCACCACGAGACAGCACUACAACACACUCACACGUGCACAUGCGCUCACACACACAUGCUUGCACACACACGCCAUCCUCGCACACACUUGUCACCACGGAUCCCUCUGGGGUGGGGGUGCCUGCACUCUGUUUGUUCAUACAUUCCCUCAGGCCCUCUCUGCAGAGACCUGGCCAGCUGCCGUGGCAGGCCUGAGAGAGUGGCUCCCUCCAACCCUGGCAGCUUUGAACAAAUGCUUUACAGCUCCUAUAAAAACACAUUCAGAGCAUACGCUUCAUCACUAAAAUAAUCCAUAUGAGCCAGCGGCUUUUCUAUAUGAUCACCUGGAUGUGUAGCAGCCAGGGAUCUCUAUGGAGGUCUUCCGUGUGUGUGUGUGUGAUGAAGAAAGAACAUGUAUGUGUGUAUGUGCACGCGCCCGCACAGGUGUAUGUGUGCAGAUGAGAAGGUUCACAUUUUCCAGCGUAGCUGUGGUGCAGUCAGUGUGGCUGCCGCCGCUGUGUGUUCGUGUGCGCCAGUGGCCGCCCUGAUCUUUGAUAUAGGAGUGGGCUUGCGUGCACUGCAUACACACACACCGCUGAGACACGUGUUGACAGGAGAACCCUGGAGGCCCAUACGUAGUCCUGAGAUACAGAUAUGACACGGACACCUGGCAGAGCUACAGCCCCUUCCCUCCUAACGGAGGUCCUGGUGCCAGUGUGGGUUGGGCAGAGCUACAGCCCCUUCCCUCCUAACAGAGGUCCUGGUGCCAGUGUGGGUUGGGCAGAGCUACAGCCCCUUCCCUCCUAACGGAGGUCCUGGUGCCAGUGUGGGUUGGGCAGAGCUACAGCCCCUUCCCUCCUAACGGAGGUCCUGGUGCCAGUGUGGGUUGGGCAGAGCUACAGCCCCUUCCCUCCUAACGGAGGUCCUGGUGCCAGUGUGGGUUGGGCAGAGCUACAGCCCCUUCCCUCCUAACGGAGGUCCUGGUGCCAGUGUGGGUUGGGCAGAGCUACAGCCCCUUCCCUCCUAACGGAGGUCCUGGUGCCAGUGUGGGUUGGGCAGAGCUACAGCCCCUUCCCUCCUAACGGAGGUCCUGGUGCCAGUGUGGGUUGGGCAGAGCUACAGCCCCUUCCCUCCUAACGGAGGUCCUGGUGCCAGUGUGGGUUGGGCAGAGCUACAGCCCCUUCCCUCCUAACGGAGGUCCUGGUGCCAGUGUGGGUUGGGCAGAGCUACAGCCCCUUCCCUCCUAACGGAGGUCCUGGUGCCAGUGUGGGUUGGGCAGAGCUACAGCCCCUUCCCUCCUAACGGAGGUCCUGGUGCCAGUGUGGGUUGGGCAGAGCUACAGCCCCUUCCCUCCUAACGGAGGUCCUGGUGCCAGUGUGGGUUGGGCAGAGCUACAGCCCCUUCCCUCCUAACGGAGGUCCUGGUGCCAGUGUGGGUUGGGCAGAGCUACAGCCCCUUCCCUCCUAACGGAGGUCCUGGUGCCAGUGUGGGUUGGGCAGAGCUACAGCCCCUUCCCUCCUAACGGAGGUCCUGGUGCCAGUGUGGGUUGGGCAGAGCUACAGCCCCUUCCCUCCUAACGGAGGUCCUGGUGCCAGUGUGGGUUGGGCAGAGCUACAGCCCCUUCCCUCCUAACGGAGGUCCUGGUGCCAGUGUGGGUUGGGCAGAGCUACAGCCCCUUCCCUCCUAACGGAGGUCCUGGUGCCAGUGACGGUUGGGCAGAGCUCUCAGCAGGAGUAGGGUCUCAUCCAACCAGUCUCUCUGGGGCAACAGGCCCAGAGCUGUAGAGAUGCAUCUACUAUAACACUGCCUUCUGUUCUAUUUUCCUAAAUGUGCAGAUAGUGGAUACUCA
Oncorhynchus keta (chum salmon) is the source of this 4312-nucleotide long non-coding RNA. RefSeq lists it as uncharacterized. Lineage: Eukaryota; Metazoa; Chordata; Actinopteri; Salmoniformes; Salmonidae. The transcript has 5 exons. The record is from RefSeq and is a predicted model, not a curated record.